RNAcentral lists this ribosomal RNA (468 nucleotides) under uncultured bacterium. RNAcentral's name for it is "partial 16S ribosomal RNA". It matches the Rfam family "Bacterial small subunit ribosomal RNA", at positions 28 to 507 of the family's 1533-position model. The record is from RNAcentral.
GACGAACGCUGGCGGCGUGCUUAACACAUGCAAGUCGAACGGAAAGGCCCUGCUUUUGUGGGGUGCUCGAGUGGCGAACGGGUGAGUAACACGUGAGUAACCUGCCCUUGACUUUGGGAUAACUUCAGGAAACUGGGGCUAAUACCGGAUAGGAGCUCCUGCUGCAUGGUGGGGGUUGGAAAGUUUCGGCGGUUGGGGAUGGACUCGCGGCUUAUCAGCUUGUUGGUGGGGUAGUGGCUUACCAAGGCUUUGACGGGUAGCCGGCCUGAGAGGGUGACCGGCCACGUUGGGACUGAGAUACGGCCCAGACUCCUACGGGAGGCAGCAGUGGGGAAUAUUGCACAAUGGGCGGAAGCCUGAUGCAGCAACGCCGCGUGCGGGAUGACGGCCUUCGGGCUGUAAACCGCUUUCGCCUGUGACGAAGCGUGAGUGACGGUAAUGGGUAAAGAAGCACCGGCUAACUACGUG